ACAACUCACACGUCAUAAAAACUAAAAGAAAAUAAACGGAGAGGGAGAGGGAGAGGGAGAGAGAGAAAGGAUCAGAGGAGUAAGAGGAAAGUUAGAAAUCAGAGGGAGGAAAAACAGAGGGGUUGGGUAAGAAGAAGAGAGAUGUCACCGGCGAUUAAGAAAAAGACUUCGCCGGUGAAGGAGAAAGAGAUGGCGGCAGAGUCUCAGAUCACUGGCGAGGAGUAAGGAGGAGCUCGCCGGUGAUGGUGACAGUGACGACCCAGAGGACGACGGUGAGAAGAAAGAAGAGGUGACGAAGAAGAAGGCAGAUUUUUUGCUCUGUUUCUGGCGAACAGAAGAGAUGAAGAACAAGAAAUCAGAGACAACGCCGGCUGUGCAUGCAAGCUUCUGGUCACAGAAAAGAGAAAGAGAUGAUGGUGAUGGUCGUUGAAGCGGCUAAGAAGAAGAAGAAUGGCAGCGGUGAGUGGUGCUAAGAGCAAAAAGUCAGAGGAGCGGCGCAGAGAAGUGAGAAUAGGGCCGUGGUGCUGCUGCAUGCAGAAAAAGCGUUCGGUAAAGACAGAUCGGAGCAGAAAGACAGACGAUGCCGCUGAUGGAAGUUCUGUCUCAGUGAAGAUAAAGGUUGAGGAUCUGUUGGUGUUUGAGUGAUGGUUGAUGGCUGCAGUUUCAGUUUGAAUGCAGUAAUAUGAAAUAUAGAGUAUAAUCUGAAGAAG
Non-coding RNA from Arachis ipaensis, 710 nucleotides. The record is from RefSeq and is a predicted model, not a curated record. NCBI's taxonomy places the organism in Eukaryota, Viridiplantae, Streptophyta, Magnoliopsida, Fabales, Fabaceae.